ACGGGUGAGUAAUACAUCGGAACGUGCCCAGUAGUGGGGGAUAGCCCGGCGAAAGCCGGAUUAAUACCGCAUACGACCUACGGGUGAAAGCGGGGGAUCGCAAGACCUCGCGCUAUUGGAGCGGCCGAUGUCAGAUUAGCUAGUUGGUGGGGUAAAAGCCUACCAAGGCGACGAUCUGUAGCUGGUCUGAGAGGACGACCAGCCACACUGGGACUGAGACACGGCCCAGACUCCUACGGGAGGCAGCAGUGGGGAAUUUUGGACAAUGGGCGCAAGCCUGAUCCAGCCAUGCCGCGUGUGGGAAGAAGGCCUUCGGGUUGUAAACCACUUUUGUCAGGGAAGAAACGGCUUGAUCUAAUAAAUCGAGCUAAUGACGGUACCUGAAGAAUAAGCACCGGCUAACUACGUGCCAGCAGCCGCGGUAAUACGUAGGGUGCAAGCGUUAAUCGGAAUUACUGGGCGUAAAGCGUGCGCAGGCGGCUAUGCAAGACAGAUGUGAAAUCCCCGGGCUCAACCUGGGAACUGCAUUUGUGACUGCAUGGCUAGAGUACGGUAGAGGGGGAUGGAAUUCCGCGUGUAGCAGUG
This 585-nucleotide ribosomal RNA is filed under the name proteobacterium RDB-131. RNAcentral's name for it is "bacterial SSU rRNA". It matches the Rfam family "Bacterial small subunit ribosomal RNA", at positions 102 to 683 of the family's 1533-position model. RNAcentral also lists the same sequence under 1 other name. The record is from RNAcentral. Lineage: Bacteria; Pseudomonadati; Pseudomonadota.